RNAcentral lists this ribosomal RNA (550 nucleotides) under uncultured archaeon. RNAcentral describes it as "bacterial SSU rRNA". It matches the Rfam family "Archaeal small subunit ribosomal RNA", at positions 328 to 879 of the family's 1478-position model. The record is from RNAcentral.
GGGUGCCCAGGCGCGAAAACUUUACAAUGCUGGCAACAGCGAUAAGGGGACCUCGAGUGCCAGGAUACAAUCCUGGCUGUCGUAAUGCCUAAAAAGCAUUGCAUAGCAAGGGCCGGGCAAGACCGGUGCCAGCCGCCGCGGUAACACCGGCGGCUCGAGUGGUAACCGCUAUUAUUGGGUCUAAAGGGUCUGUAGCCGGCUGACUAAGUCUCUUGGGAAAUCUGGCAGCUCAACUGUCAGGCUUUCAGGAGAUACUGAUCGGCUCGAGACCGGGAGAGGUGAGAGGUACCUCAGGGGUAGGGGUGAAAUCUUGUAAUCCUUGAGGGACCACCAGUGGCGAAGGCGUCUCACCAGAACGGAUCUGACGGCAAGGGACGAAAGCUAGGGGCACGAACCGGAUUAGAUACCCGGGUAGUCCUAGCCGUAAACGAUACUCGCUAGGUGUCGGCCACGGUGCGACCGUGGUCGGUGCCGUAGGGAAGCCGUGAAGCGAGCCACCUGGGAAGUACGGCCGCAAGGCUGAAACUUAAAGGAAUUGGCGGGGGAGCAC